AAAACACAACCCCGUACUACUAGCCUAACACAUAACACACGUCUGUGCAGGUCGCUACAGUCCAUUAACAAAUUAUAAAUCUUUCUGCCAACAAUCGUCAGAAAAAAAUGGUUUUAGACAUAUCCUCGUACUUGAGCCCUUAACGUUUUAGCUUCAAAACAUUCCUCGAAGUGGAAAUUCUCGGCCUCGCCCCCAGCGAUCUCUUCCGUGCUAACUUUUCUACAAACAUUCUCGAUGGAGGUAGCACUUUCUUUCUCGCUCUGUUCCCCUUCGGACAAAAACUACGAUACCUCAUCGCCAAUCUGUUGCAUCCCUGGUUAAGGGAAGCGGGUUGUUUUUAGUUAUUGUAAAGAAAAAGUAAACAGUAUAAAGCAUUAACAUCACGAAGAUGACAGUGGAUACUAAAUAGCUGGUUCCAAGCGGAGUCCAUCUGCACCCUUUCAAAGGAAACAAUUGAAUACCUUUAGUGUGUAGGCUAGUUACAGCGUGUAGCCUAGUUAGAGCCAUAAAUAUCCAGCUGUCAUCUGAAGUAUGCAAGCCAUGACAAUGACAAUGAGAAGCGGACACCGUUGCAUGCUGCUGCCUAUCUAGGAGAUGCAGAAAUUCUAGAGCUACUCAUACUAUCAGGAGCCAGAGUAAAUGCCAAAGACAAGUGUCUCAAUACUCUGCACCGGGCCGUGGCUUCCUGCAGUGAGCAGGCAGUCCAGGUGCUAUUGAAACACUCUGCUGAUGUGAACGCCAGGGACAAGAACUGGCAAACGCCGCUCCACAUCGCUGCGGCCAAUAAGGCGGUCCGCUGUGCCGAGGCCCUGGUCCCUUAGCAAUGUGAACAUGUCGGACCGAGCGCUCCACCAUGCAGCGGACACCAAGAGAUGGUGAGGCUCCUUCUCUCCAGAGGAGCCAACAUUAAUGCUUUUGACAAGAAGGACCGCCGAGCAAUCCACUGGGCUGCUUACAUGGGUAAUGAGUUGACCACAUAAUUUACAUUCUGAAUGUCCUUAUCCCAGUUAGUGAAUGGGCUGUGUGUUAGCCUCACAGCUCAGCUGUAUGGUCCACCACUAGUGUUUUAUUAUGUCAGAAUGAUGGACAAAGUAUGUUGAUAAGAUGUAGGUUUACAAUUGUACUAACAUGUAGCUUCAGCACCAACGUCAUCAGAUGGCCCAGUUGCAGCAUCAGUAGAGUACCCAUAGUCAGACGACAUGCGCCUCAGUUUACAGGUCAUCA
Molecule: RNA transcript, 1224 nt
Organism: Oncorhynchus keta (chum salmon)
Lineage: Eukaryota; Metazoa; Chordata; Actinopteri; Salmoniformes; Salmonidae
Gene name: serine/threonine-protein phosphatase 6 regulatory ankyrin repeat subunit A-like
Exons: 5
Source: RefSeq, a predicted model, not a curated record